Molecule: ribosomal RNA, 253 nt
Filed under: uncultured bacterium
Lineage: Bacteria
Description: partial 16S ribosomal RNA
Rfam family: Bacterial small subunit ribosomal RNA
Source: RNAcentral
UACGUAGGUGGCAAGCGUUAUCCGGAUUUACUGGGUGUAAAGGGCGUGUAGGCGGGACUGCAAGUCAGAUGUGGAAACCACGGGCUCAACCUGUGGCCUGCAUUUGAAACUGUAGUUCUUGAGUACUGGAGAGGCAGACGGAAUUCCUAGUGUAGCGGUGAAAUGCGUAGAUAUUAGGAGGAGCACCAGUGGCGAAGGCGGUCUGCUGGACAGCAACUGACGCUGAGGCGCGAAAGCGUGGGGAGCAAACAGG